GUGUUCCCUGUCCUGCUUCCCCAGAGGAAGCCAGAAGAAGACCCCAGUUGCCAUGAACUCCGCCGUCACUAGCCGUGAGCACUCCACUUACUCGCAGAGGAGUGAUGUCGUGCUCAGCUCCCAACCUAUGGCCAAGGCAGGAGGACAGAUAGGCAGCCCGGGAGUCCCGCAGCAGCUGCCUGGCCUAUGACAUCUUGGACAUCCUGCCAUGUUAUCUCUGUAUCUUCUUGGGGAUUCAGCACUUCCUCACAGCCCUGGGGGGCCUCAUGGCGGUGCCAUUCAUCCUGGCCAAGGACCUGUGCCUGCAGCAGGACCCCCUGACACAGAGCUACCUCAUCAGCACCAUUUUCUUUGCUCCAGCAUCUGCAUGCUCCUGCAAGUGUUUUUAGGGGUCAGGGGUUCUCCAGCCGGCCCAGGUUGUUCAGAUGCUGCUGACCAUGGGCAUGUUCAUCAGUGGAUUUCUGGGUUUUCUUCUAGACAACACCAUCCCCGACUCGAAUCAUUUCUUGGUCUAGCAUCUCCAUGCUGUGGAGGAUACCCGCCCCCUUAGUAGCUGUCUUGGUGAUCAGAUUGACCGUCGAGGCACUGCAGUGCUUGUCCUCAGAACAAGAACCCAGAGCCCACCAAAGGACUGGCGUGAAAGGAGCUGUAGCACUGUAUCCGUCCCACCCUCCACUGGCACCGGAUGGCUGCCCCACAUGACAGGAAGUGUUGGUGUGACCAGACCAGCAGCCCAGGAGCCAUGGGCUAGAGUGGGGCAUUGGGACCGAAUGAGCGGUAACAUGAACAAGCUGAAACACAUUCCUGCCCAGCCUGCCAAGCUGUGGGCAGUGACACGCUCUUAUUUGCCAGACUACAAGAGAAGAUCUGUGACCCUUCUGGGGGCCCAUACCUUGGGGCUCCCCAAGCCAGAGCUGUGACAUGCUGUAACACCCUCUUGCAGCUCCACGGUUGCUGGUGUCUUUGAGUUUUCAGGCACCACGGCGUUCCCCUUGUUGGGAUGCCAGUGCCCAAGGUGGAAGCCACUUGAGGCAUACCUGGUCCAGCCACAGCCUCACAUGGUUCUGACACCUGGAGCUGCCUGCCCUUCUGCAGCAGCUGGUGCACCUGGCUCUGUGGUGUGGCUGGACCCUGUGCUCACUCACACACCUCCCACUACUCCGCGCCUGGCUCACCCAUGAUGGGAAUGGGAUCUGGGCCAGUAGUGCAAGCUGAGGACAGCCUGCUGGGCUGAGUAGGCAGAGCCAGCCCAGCAGUUGUGAGCAAAACUUGGUCAGAGGCGCCACUGGUCACAGAAGUUUCUGGCUGGUGAAGUGGCACUGAAAGAAUCCUGUGUGACUUUGCUCAUCUCAGUUACUCAUUCUGUGGCCACAUCUCAGACUAGCCUUGGGGAUUCCCAGUAGCUGUGCCUGCAAUCCUCAAUUUCAAGCAGUUGUCUGACCACCACCUCCUAUUUUUCCAGCUCACUACUUCUAGUCCCCCAAGUCUAAUAACUCUUUAAUUGGCCAGGAUCUGAAUCUACCGUCCUCCCACCUUCCGCUGGUCCCCUCUUCCCUCCUUGAGCAACCUCAAUGCCACAGUCAGUCAUAAUAACCACCUUCUCGCAUUUGCAACGCCCUUAGUCUGCUCUCUUCUUUACACUCUCUUGGCAAAACCUGAACGCUGAUGAGAAAUAACUCUUCACUCUGCACCUGCACUCGUGCAGUUGAGCAUCUCUGGGGAAAACAUACAGUUGAAUGGAGUGGUUUUAGAUUCAGACCCUGAACUUCACGGGAUCCUCAGUGCCGCCUGGCAGGCAGGAACCCUUUCCCAAGCACACUGCUCUCUCUGCUAAAACUCUUUCCACCUCUGUCUUCUUCUUCUUUUUUUUUUUUUUUUUUUGAACUUCACGGGAUCCUCAGUGCCGCCUGGCAGGAAGGAACCCUUUCCCAAGCACAAGGCUCUCUCUGCUAAAACUCUUUCCACCUCUGUCUUCUUCUUCUUCUUUUUUUUUUUUUUUUUUUUUGAGACGCUCACUGUCACUCUGGCUGGAGUGUAGUAGUGCGAUUACAGAUCACUGCAGUCUUGACCUCUGGGCUCAAGGGAUCCUCCUGUCUCAGCCUUCCGUGUAGCUGGGGCUACAGGCAUGUGCCACCGCACUCUGCUAAUUUUUUAAAAAAUACUUUGUGGAGACAGAGUCUUGUCAUGUUGCCCAGGCUAGUCUUGAACCGCUCGGCUCGAGCAGUCCUCCAGCCUUGGCUUCCCAAAGUGCUAGGAUUACAGACAUGAGCCACCAUACCCAACCUCAGCUUCUUAUUUCAGAGAAAUCUGUAAAGGAGUAAUCAGAUGAGAAACUGUGCAAACACCUGCAUGUCUCCACUCCUAGCUUUGGUGCCCCUUGACUCUCCCUCCUGUUGGGUGAAUGAGCUGCCUGGCUCCUCCCUGAAGCUGGUUCCUCCCCUUGUGCUCCAGAGCCCAUUCCCUGAUUUCUAUUCAAGGGUUUCACUGCGACAAGUCUCCUAUCUUGCAUCAAGUUUUCUCUUUCUUUCAGUAACGCAUGUCAGCAUACACACCUGCUGUUAUUUCUGCUAUCUUAAAAAAAGAUUUUUUUUCUUAAAAAGAGACUUUUGUGAGUGUGUGCCAUGGUAGGCUUAAAGUAACAGGGUCCCGCCCAUCUAACAUGCUGUAAUAAAUGUGCUGGAGCUGAGGACCUGCGCUUAGCUGCUCCAGGAGUCCUGGAUGCCUCUCAUACCAGUCAAGAGCAGGCCCAUCCUCUUUCCUUACCCUACUGCUUCUGUGCCCACAGAAGCCCUUCACAUCCUGUCUCAUUCUGCCCUUUGUUCCUUUUCCUUUGGUUGACAGCUCCAGGACUUCAGAACAUUCCCUAUGUUCUCACCAAACAGCUGCCAGGCAGCCAGGCUCAGUUUUCCAAGUGGGUUUUCCUGUACUUUAUUUUCGUAUCGUGCUGUCCCCAGGCAGCCAAAGCAGGAUGAACAGCAGGAGAAGAGAGCCAGGCCCUCUCCUGGAACAGCCUCCUGGUCUUCCCUCAGCUGUACUUUUUUUUAUUGUCAGAACACGUAGUUUCAGAGCUUCAGGAACAAGGCAGCUUUGUGAGAAGCAUAUGCAAGAAGGGACAGAUUUCUGACAUUUCCAUAAAAGCACAAAGGCUUGUUUUGUUCAGAAUCAAGGUUGGAGAAGUAGCUGGUGGAUAAGAAGUAAUUGACGAGAUGGGCUUGGGGUAAUUAGCUUGAUUCAAUUAGCAUGAGGUGGAACUGAGUUACCCAAGCUAGAUGUCAGCUCAGCCCAGCCACCACCCGCCCACACCAUCUGCACUCAAUAAGCAUUUAUCUGUUGGAGCUUUUUCUGCACAUUCCAAGGUCGCUAUCAGAAUCUGAAUCCCCUGUUCUGAUAAUGCAGUGCCUAGAGCCACGGCCUCGCAGCUUCCCUCCUUCACCUCCAAUCUUGCUUCUUCCCGCCUCCACUUGACCUCCCAUGAUCCCCCUCCCAGUCAUCACCUAGAGGUGAUGCACAGAGUGGCCGACAGAGUGAACUCCAAGGGCUGGCUUCACAUUCCUACAUCCUAAUUCUUUAGAGGCAGGGCUUUUUUGUGACUUUAAACAACAAAAUUGUUCCCCAUUCAUUAACUUAUUGGGGAUAAAAAGAGUUAGAGGUGAGGUGAUCUGAGAUUCUUCUAUUAAAUGGUUUGGGGCUUCAGUUAAAUCAUUGUUUCUUCAUCUGUCAAAUGGCAGUAAUAACAGAGGCCCAACCUCCACAGGGAGCUGCUAUAACAACAACAACAUAAAAAUCCCCAAGGGGUACCCGUGAUGUUGGUUUCAUGUGUCAAGCUGGCCAAGCUAUAGUAUCCAGUUAUCUAAUCAGGCACUCCUUUAGGGGGUGUUGUGAAGGCAUUUUAUAGAUGUGGUUAACAAACCAGUCCACUUUAAAUUAAGAAGAUUGCCCUUGCUGAUGUGAUUGGGGCUCACCAUCCAUUAGCUGAAGGCCGUAAGAACAGAACUGAGGUUUCUGGGAGGAGACAUUCUUUCAAGACUGCACUGCCAACUCCAGCCUGAGUUUCCAGCCUCCUGGAAGCCCUACAGAUUUCAGACAUGCAGUCCCCACAAACAGAUAAACCAAUUUCUUAAAAUAAAUCUCGGUGUCUCUAUAUCGUAUUGGCACUGUUUUUCUGCAGAACUCUGAUUGCUACAGUACUGACUGAUAUAGGAAGAUACCUUCCCGAUACAAGUCCUUGGUGGGGAGGAAGGGAGAUUGAGAACCACGUGAAGGUAGUUUUAUGCAAUAACUCCAUCCCAGGCUAUGCCAAUACCCAAGGCUGCAGGAGAGAAGCAGAGGGCUGUUGGGCUCACAACCCAGCACAAGGUUGUGGGGGGAAGGGACACCUCCACAUCCUGCUGAGGUCCUCUCUGACUAGGGGCUGCUGGCAGGUAUGGCUCAAGGAAUGAAGUCGCAGCCUUGGACUAAAUAGGAUCAGGGUGGAGCUUGGUACAAAGAGGGAGGGGCUGGCUAGCACUGGCAUACAUUGCUUGAGGGCCUACUAUGUGCACGCCCCUCUGUAAAGCUGCAUUUCUUCUUUCCCACACAGCUGGCUUGGUGAGCCUCUAGGGGUGGCCAACCUGAGCUCCUGCAUUCCUGUCUUUCCAGCAGGAGUUCAAGCUGCCCCUGAGCACAAAGGCCCUUCCUGCCCAGCUCCUGGAGAGCCUCCCUCUGCCCACUCGGUGCGGUGAUUUGUAAGCUGUGAAGGGCUUGCGAAGCUCCUAUCCCUGCACACCCCGGGGGAAGUCCUUGAGUGCGGGCUCAUGCAUCUCAGGACUGCUUUGGAGUCACACAGGACUGGGUCUGGGUCCUAAGACUUAGCCGGUGUUUCAGACUCUCGCUAGGAGAUAACACAGUCCAAGCCUUUGGGAGGGCCUCAGUGCAGGGGAGGGGCUGCUAUGAUGCCUUGAAAACUGUAAAGAGCCAUGCAAGCCCAUUCUCCCCGCACACCCUGCAUUAGUCUGGGUUCUCCAGAGAAAUAGAGCCAAUAAGAUGUGUAUAUACGUAGAUACAGAGAAAGAGAGAGGUGAAAUAUUUAUUUUAAGGAAGGGACCCAUGCAGUUGUGGAGGUGCAAGUCUAAAAUCUGCAAGGCGGGCCGGCAGGCUGGGAAGAGCCGCAGUUCAAGUCCAAAGUUGGACUGCUGGCAGGAUUCCCUCUUUCUCCCGGGAGGUCGGUCUCUUUCGAUUCAGGCCUUUAACCUAUAGGAAGCAUUCUGAGGAUCAUCUGCUUUACUGGAAGUCUCCUGACUUAAAUGUUAAUUUCAUUAACAAUACCUUCACAGAAACAUCUAAAAUAAUGUUUGACCAAAUUCCUGGGUAUCACAGACUAGCCAGGUUGACACAUAAAAUUCACCCUCACCCCCAGUGUCCAAGCCCAGGUACACGUAUGCACCCUUUGCCCAGAAGCCUCACCAGAAAGCCCUCGGAACCCUCGGACCUCACUGUAGCUCCUGUUCAGGUGACUUUAUUACCAGGAGCAGCAGAUGAAUCUGGUUCCACCCAGCUGUCCUGUGGCACAGGGUUGAGGUCAGCACUGCCCCUGGCUCUCAGAGUGUGCAGGAUGAGCAGGUGGGCUGUGGAACUCUCUAGAACCCAUCAGGGCAAUGCCCUGUGCCCAGGACAUGCUGAAAGUACCUGGUGUUAUGUCACCUCCGAGGACAGAUCCUGCCUGUCCUCCUUGAAAGGCCCAUGGCCUGGGCCCCAGCUGUACUUUCUACCCCCUUAAUAGGAGCACAAUAGCAGCAGGCCAGCCCUUUGUGCCAAACAGUCCCUAAAGACCAACACGAGGCCGUGCUUCUCUUAUACUUUAUAAUAAUCAGAAACUAAAAUCAUCAAAAUGCUUCUGGAACAACCCACUCCAAAGAGUCCUGGAGGCCAAGGCAGGUGCAACCUUAGCUGCCAGCAUUCAACCUUGGGAACUGCCCACCUCAUUCAGUCCCUCCCCUCGCAGCUCCUCUUCUGCAUUACAAAUCUUCAUCGUCAAAGGUCUCUGUGCACUGCAACAUGAUCAUCUCUUCAUCAACGGGAAAGGAUGCUUCCUGCAAGACACAGGGUGGAAGAGGGUCACUUUUUAUCUGUGGGUCUUGGGCCCGAGGCAGAUAGGAAGGCUCCUGCAUCUCCGGUGUGCCCAGCCCCCAGACUCUAUCCUACGUCUCUUCCGCUGCAUUUUCACCUCCAGCUUGGGCCAGGAAGCAAGGGCUCUAAGGGGGGAAGGUCCCAUUUCCAUUUCACUCAACUCAGCAUUCUAUGACCUCCAGAAAGGACACAGCAGAACUGGCUUCUUUUUUAUCCUGGGGAUUUCCAGGUUCCCACAAGAGAGACAGAGGACCUCAUAAGGCUUUAUCCAAAUGCUCAUCAAUAGAAGACGGUGCACUGCACCACGGUGCUCCCACCAAUGAAACACCAUGCAGCUCAUUUCCAACAAAAAUAAUGAGACAGCGUGCUCUCUGUGGGAUACACUAUUUACAAAGGGCAAAGUGCAAAGCAAUGUGUACCGUAGGCUACUACUAUUUGUGUUUGAAAGAAUAUAUAAUAUCUGUAGAAUAUCUUUGGAUGAGUGUACAAGAAACUGGUCACUGUAGUUGCCUCUGGGGGAGGGUAUGGGGUAGGAAGCAAGGAAGAGAGAGAGACUAAGUGUCCAUUGUAUAUCUUUUGGUAACUUGUAAAUUUUAUGCCAUGUAUAUGGGUUACCUAUUAGGAGAUGAUAUUUUUUUAAGCAGCAGCACUGCAGCUGGUCAUGAUGGCUCAAUGCCUGUAAUCCCAGCACUUUGGGAGGCCAAGGCAGGCGGAUCACCUGAGGUUAGGAGUUCGAGACCAGCCUGGCCAACAUGGCGAAAUGCUGUCUCUACUAAAAAUACAAAAAAAUUAGCUGGGCAUGGUGGUGUGCGCCUGUAAUCCCAGCUACUCGGGAGGCCAUGGCAUGAGAAUCACUUGAACCUGGGAGGCAGAGGUUGCAGUGAUCCAAGAUCACACCAUGACUACACACCAUCCUGGGUGAAAAAAAAAAGCAGCAGCACUGUUUGCUUAGCAAGGGUUUCUCAGUCCCUAAAGGGACACUGUAAACAGUGAUCCCAGCCAACACCUCAGGACUCUCCAUGACUUCUUCCUCUAAAAAUAUGUUCCUGAGGCUUUGCUCCUUCUGUCUGUCUCCAUCCUAGCAGAAAAUGACCCCUGUAACUUGUCAGCCCUGCAGAUCAGAGUUGAUCCCCAUGGAACCAGGUGGCAUCCCUGACCCCAGUCAACCAUCUAAUGAAUGUGGGACCUGGUCCCAAGGGUGAUAUCCUCAUAGUGGGGACGACCUCCACAAACUGAGCCUUUCCUGCCCUGGAGAAGCAGUUCCCAUUCACCAUGCUCUCCUGAUAGGGGCAGGGAAAUAGGGAUCAAGAGUGUCAGGGAGGUGGGACCACAGUCUCCAGGCAAAUCUUGUGGGCCCCUUGUUCAGCAGGAAGACAGUGGCAGAGGUUGGGAGGAGAAUGCAACUUUUCUGUUUACACCAGAGUCUAUCAAAGCCUGAGUCCUCCUGCCCCAGAGCCACUUGGACAGCUCAUUCCAAAUGCAGAUUUCUGGGGCCCGUUCUUGCAGCACUGAGGCAUCGGGAAUCUAGGAGUGCUGAAGUUUGGCAUCUUUGCUUUGUUCUGUUGUUGUUGUUGUCUGGAGAGAGUCUCACUCUGUUGCCCAGGCUGGAGUACAGUGGCUUGAUCUCAGCUCACUGUAACCUCUGCCUUGUAGGCUCAAACAAUCCUCCCAACUCAGCCUCCUGAGUAGCUGGGACUACAGGCAUGUACCACCACACCCAGCUAAUUUUUAUAUUUUUUGUAGUGGUGAGGCUCUGCCAUGUUGUCCAGACUGGUCUUGAAAUCCUGGGAUCAAGUGAUCUGCCCACCUCAGCCUCCCAAAGUGCUGGGAUUCCAGGUGUGAGCCACUGCACCCGGCCAUACCUUUGCUUUGUAUGGAUACAAGAAUCCCUGCUUGUUAUCUUUUCUGCCAUAUAUGGAGAAGGAGGGGAGGCAAAGAUUGUCCUUUUCGUCUAUUCUCAAAGUCUUGAUAAAGUGGGCUAAUUUAACUGUAUCUGAGAGAAAGAGGGGACAACUGGUCCAGGGGACUGUCACCCAAGGAUUGGUGGGAAGGGGAGAGCAAACUGCAAGGAAGGGCUCCACAUAAGGAUUCACUGUGGUCCCAGAAGAAGGAAAUGAAGACUUAGUUGGAAAAGGGCAAGUUAUACCUUAGCCUAUUGAACAGGUGUCUUGACUAUUUUUAGACAAACAUUUGCUAUUAUUAUAACUUACCUUUUAAAUAAACAGUUGUAUUAUUGCUAAACUAGUAAAGAAAAAUCCAUGGCUAUGAAUUUGAAAGGACCUGUCCCCUUGUGGCUCAGGUAUAACCCCCCUUCUCUGACAAAAGCUUCCAGGAAUGGCCCUCCUAACCAAGAGUCCCACUGCUCAUAUCACUGUAAGUGGAACAAUUUGGAAGCAGACAUUAAUAUCCUUCAAAAGCUGACAGCAAAUAUUACCGAAGGUGAUGAAGACUGUAGAAGAUGAUGAAAUAGCCCAGCGUUUUGGGAAGGUGUCAAAGGUUCACACAACAUUUAUGAAUGCCUGCUGAGAGUCAGGCCCCUGGGAUCGGGUUCCUGCUUCAAAGGGCUCCCAGUCAAGGUCUGCCUUAGAGCAGUGGUUCCCAACCUUUAUGGCACCAGGGACCAGUUUCACGGAAGACAAUUUUCCCACAGACCUGGGGGGCAAGGGUGGUUUCAGGAUGAAACUCUUCCACCUCAGAUCAUCAGGCAUUAGUCAGAUUCUCAUAAGGAGAGAGCAACCUAGACCCCUUGCAUGAGCAGUUCAUAAUAGGGUCUGCACGCCUAUGAGAAUCUAACGCUGCCACUGAUCUGACAGCAGGCAAAGCUCAGGCUGUCAUGCUCACCCUCUGCUGUGCAGCUGUGUUCCUAGCAGGCCAUAGAUCUGUACUGGUCUGUGGCCUAGGAGUUGGGGACCCCUGCCCUAGAGGACACUUCUCUGUCUUUCCUGUUUCCCUGGCUAUCUUCCAUUCAUUCUACAGGAUGCAUCAGGCUGAAGGUGACCAUUCAUGGAGCAAGCCAGAGAGAAUGGAGAGUGUCCCUGCCCAGUGGCUCCUCAUGGUAUGAUUGGGCUGGCAAGCACUGAACUGACAACAGAAAGGAAGAAAAGGCAACAAAUAUUCAGGAUCCUGAUCUUUCAACUCUGCUUCCCCCUCCCCUGAAAGAUUUGGGUUACAGUAUGAACCAAGCACAUGUAAAUUCUCAGACAGCCCAGACCUCUCCUUGAAAGGAUUAUUUUGGCAUUUGGAGCCCCC
RNAcentral lists this long non-coding RNA (9354 nucleotides) under Homo sapiens (human). Its description in RNAcentral is "non-protein coding lnc-WDR91-4:1". Lineage: Eukaryota; Metazoa; Chordata; Mammalia; Primates; Hominidae. The record is from RNAcentral.